GAUGAAGAACGCAGCGAAAUGCGAUAAGUAAUGUGAAUUGCAGAAUUCAGUGAAUCAUCGAAUCUUUGAACGCAUCUUGCGCUCCUUGGUAUUCCUUGGAGCAUGCCUGUUUGAGUAUCAUGAGCAAAUCUCAAAGUCAAUUCCUUUUGUUGAUUCAAUUGGUUUUGCUUUGGACUUGGAGGCCUUGCAGAUUUCACAGUCUGCUCCUCUUAAAUGCAUUAGCUGGAUCUCAGUAAUUAUGCUUGGUUCCACUCGGCGUGAUAAGUAUCACUCGCUGAGGACACUGUUAAAAAGGUGGCCAGGAAAAUACUGAUUGAACCGCUUCUAACGGUCUAUUAAGUUAGACAAUUACCCUUAAGUUUGAUCUCAAAUCAGGUAGGACUACCCGCUGAACUUAAGCAUAUCAUAAGCGGAGGA
RNAcentral lists this unclassified non-coding RNA (417 nucleotides) under soil metagenome. RNAcentral describes it as "partial contains 5.8S ribosomal RNA, internal transcribed spacer 2, and large subunit ribosomal RNA". The stretch from base 1 to 120 matches the Rfam family "5.8S ribosomal RNA", at positions 35 to 154 of the family's 154-position model. The record is from RNAcentral.